RNAcentral lists this ribosomal RNA (229 nucleotides) under uncultured bacterium. Its description in RNAcentral is "partial 16S ribosomal RNA". It matches the Rfam family "Bacterial small subunit ribosomal RNA", at positions 568 to 796 of the family's 1533-position model. The record is from RNAcentral.
UGCGUAGGCGGGCUAAUAAGUCAGUGGUGAAAUCUCUCGGCUCAACCGGGAGACUGCCAUUGAUACUGUUAGUCUUGAGUUCGGUUGAGGUAGGCGGAAUGUGUAAUGUAGCGGUGAAAUGCUUAGAUAUUACACAGAACACCAAUUGCGUAGGCAGCUUACUAGACCGACACUGACGCUCAGGCACGAAAGCGUGGGUAGCGAACAGGAUUAGAUACCCUGGUAGUCC